Molecule: small nucleolar RNA, 202 nt
Organism: Oreochromis aureus
Lineage: Eukaryota; Metazoa; Chordata; Actinopteri; Cichliformes; Cichlidae
Product: ACEA small nucleolar RNA U3
Source: Ensembl
AAGACUAUACUUUCAGGGAUCAUUUCUAUAGUUUCUGACUUGAGAAAUGUGUUUCUAGAGUGUAUGGUCUCGCUGACCACGAUGAUGAGUUAUGAUAUUCCCUUUUGAGCAUGAAGCUGACAGACAACAUCGUUCUGUUGUGUGUUUUCUGUCAUUGAUGAUUGUUCAGAACAUUGAUGAAGAGAAUAUGCACUGAGUGGUU